RNAcentral lists this long non-coding RNA (1723 nucleotides) under Anthonomus grandis grandis. Its description in RNAcentral is "uncharacterized LOC126748210". The record is from RNAcentral. Lineage: Eukaryota; Metazoa; Arthropoda; Insecta; Coleoptera; Curculionidae.
UUCCGAUAUAUGAGAGAGAGGUCCGAGAAAGAGUAGGACCUAAUUUGGGAAAAGCCGUUGAGAAUCCUUAUUUCUUAUUUUAAAUCACAGAACACAAAGAGGAAAUCCUUGGUCUGUUUUCUGUGGCAAAAAGAGGAUAUUAAGAAGGUCCCCUUGCAAAAUCUGCUAAGUUUCGAUGCCGUAAGUUGCGUACAUUUAUCAAUAAGUGUUAUAUGUUAUGCCUUCAGUUUUUUGCAGGGAAAAUAUGCUUUGCAGUGCAACAUUCUUUUUGUUUACAUUUUGUGGGAAGCCUCUCCACCAGACACUUGAUCUGCCACUCUCAUAUAGGACAAUCUUUUUGGGCCCCAGAGAAGAACUGUAAGAAUCAUGGUGGGUCUGAGGUACAGGUAAAACUGUAGGCAUGUGUAUAUAAAAAGUUGAUGACUGAGACCUGUAGUUUUUCAUAACUUAUGAAGAUAUAAGGUAGUAUGAACCUAGUCAAACAGAUGUUGUGAAGAUAUCUAAACUAGGCUAAACACACUCCUGAGAGGAUAAAAAUAGAUGCCCGAGGCAACAUAAGGCAAAGAAGAUUAAAUAGGCAGUGUAGGAGAAAAUCUAAGCCUUCAUCAGAAGCAGAACACUGUUUUGUAGAGGCACCUAUUUCUCUAGAGACUUGCGAAAUAGAUACCUUGGGUUUUGCGGAGCUUUCCUUUUCAACAUAAUUUUGGCAGAGAACUUUGACUGCAACUAAAGUGUCAAAAAAUACUUUGCAAAAAUUGUGCAAGAACGUACAAAAGUCGAAUGGCAAGGACCGGGCUCUUCUUUUUCAACGCCUAAAAAAACAAAAACCAACCAAAAAUAAAGAAAAGCAAAUUGGAUAAUAUCUUGCCACAUCAGAUAAAAGAUAUUAGAGAAAUUGUUUACAAUUUUUAUGUAAUGGAGAAGAAAUUAGUCACGCCCAAAGUAAAGGAUGGUAUGAUGAUACUUCUAAAGGCAUAAAACGGCCAAUUUCAAAAGGCCAACGAUUAAUUAUAAUACAUGCUGGUGGAGAAAGAGGAUUCGUUAACAACGGAUUACUUAUAUUCAAAUCAGCUGUUGUUACAGGUACAGAAACUGGGGACUAUCACAAAGAUAUGAACGAUAAUCACGAUAAUUUGAUGACCUGGGUUAAAAAGCAAUUACUGCCGAAUUUACCUGUAAGGUCUGUCCUCAUUGUGGACAAUGCUGCAUAUCAUAAUGUCCCUACACAAAAGAAUAUCACAACGGCUUCUAGGAAUGACGAAAUUAAGUCUGGUUGAAUGAAAAUACCAGUGGAUUCCACAAAAACUAAGCCACAGCUCUAUAAUAUUAUCAAAGAAAAUAAAUUUCGUUUUCCGACCAAAUACAAGUUGGAUGACCUGCUAGAGCAACAUGGACACUGUGUGUUACGCUUGCCUCCUUAUCACCCUGAACUAAAUCCCAUUGAAAAAAUAUGGGCUUUAGUUAAAAACUGGGUAGCAGCUCAUAAUACUACAUUCAAACUAGCAGAUACCGAAGCACUGGCAAGGCAAAAAAUCUGUGGAUAAACUAUGUUUUAUAGUAAAUACGGGUUGAUCAUCAGAGCAAAGUGACUACACAGACAGCGGGAGUGACGAAGAUGAAUCGGAAGAUGAUUUAGGAUGCUCGCCUCUUCAGUCGUCUGCAGUAGAAUAAAUAAUAAAGCUAAAAUUUAUUUAAAUAAAUGGCGUUUUACAAAAUUGGAAUG